CUUUCUGGUCCAGAGCCCCCACAGGAAGGAGAAAUGAAAAGAUUACUGUUGACUGCACAGUUCCAGGGGCCAAGGCAGAAGAAAUCCUGGAGAAAGGUCCAAAGACAGCGAUCUCCUGGACAUGAAAGAUGGACAAGCUGAUACCCAGCUUGAGCUCUCAAGAGAACAGAAAGGCGUCUCACACUCUCCACAAAGCUAGAAACAAACAACACUGUGGAGGAUUUUUACUGGUCAUACAUUGGGUCAUGUGCCCUUCCCUGAGCCAAUCUGCAGUCAGAAGGAUGAAGUACUCUAAUUGGCCAGUUUUGGGUCACGUGCCUGUUCCUGGCUGUCAUUGCACCAACACAUCAGGGAAUGGGGAGUUGAGGAGUGAGGAGCUUCCCCUACACAGAGAGACGGUGGGUAGCCCAUUUGUCCGCUAAAACCUUCAAGAUACAUCUAGAAUGCAUCCAUCCACAUCGUGCUAGGCUGAGCUACUAUCACCUGGUACUUGGAACCGCCUCCUCACUGGUCUACCGUCUCCCUUGCAAACAUUUUCUACAACAGCCAGUAAUCCCUAAACAUGAAUCCCAUCACAUCACUCUCUUCCUGUGCUCAGCUUCCCAUUCUCAAGGGAAGUCCUCCCAUCUUCUAAAGAAUAUCUACCUACCCAGCCCAAUUAUAUAUGAGCUUUUUAGGUUUUUUUUUUUAGAGCAAAGGAAUGACAGGUUUUGUCAAGCUGCAGGUGACUAUAAGAUACAGACAGCUGACAAUUGUGGACUCCUCAGGCGUGGUGAAAGAUUGAGCUACUAUCAUUAGGGUUGGCUGGCUAGGACCCCGGCAGGCACCUGGGGAUAGUAGUGCUGGGAAGUUCUGGGGAGUUGCACUUCUGAAUGCUGGCAUGACACUGCCUCAAGACAUCUCUCUAUCCAAAUGGAAAAAACAACCACAUCCUUUGUCAGCUAAGGAGAGUUAGCAAACUGUUUUUAUUAAAUACUGAUGUCUGGCCGGGCACGGUGGCUCACGCCUGUCAUGCUAGCACUUUGGGAGGCCGAGGCGGGUGGAUCACUUGAGGCCAGUAGUUCAAGACCAGCCUGGCCAACAUGGUGAAACCCCAUCUCUACUAAAAAUACAAAAUUAGCCGGGCGUGGUGGCGGGCGCUUGUAAUCCCAGCUACCCGGGAGACUGAGUUAGGAGAAUCGCGUGAACCCAGGAGGCGGAGGUUGCAGUGAGCCGAGAUCGCGCCACUGCACUCCAGCCUGGGUGACGGAGUGGGACUCUGUCUCUAAAUACAUAAAUAAAUAAAUAAAUAAAUAAAUAAAUAAAUAAAUAAAAAUACUGAUGUCUCCAAGCUUUGGCUAUGUGUUGCAAUGUACAACCUUUCCAAUGUCGCUGCACCAUUGCAUUUAGAGGAAAUCUCCAUUCCCUAACAGGAACUACAAGGCCCC
Molecule: long non-coding RNA, 1427 nt
Filed under: Homo sapiens (human)
Lineage: Eukaryota; Metazoa; Chordata; Mammalia; Primates; Hominidae
Description: HSALNT0388358
Source: RNAcentral